Molecule: ribosomal RNA, 305 nt
Filed under: uncultured bacterium
Lineage: Bacteria
Description: bacterial SSU rRNA
Rfam family: Bacterial small subunit ribosomal RNA
Source: RNAcentral
GUCCUACGGGGCUCAUCAGUAGUGACUCUUUCUCCCUUUUUUCCACCCUGCAGCAGCAACGCUGCGUGGAGGAUGAAGGUUUUCGGAUUGUAAACUCCUUUUGUUAGAGAAGAUAAUGACGGUAUCUAACGAAUAAGCACCGGCUAACUCCGUGCCAGCAGCCGCGGUAAUACGGAGGGUGCAAGCGUUACUCGGAAUCACUGGGCGUAAAGAGCGCGUAGGCGGGAUAGCAAGUCAGAUGUGAAAUCCUAUGGCUUAACCAUAGAACUGCAUUUGAAACUGUUAUUCUAGAGUAUGGGAGAGGG